AUUGAACGCUGGCGGCAUGGUUAAAGCAUGCAAGUCGAACGCGAACCACCUUCGGGUGGGGAAAGUGGCGAAAGGGCGAGGAAUACGAUCGAAUGUGCCCCGAGGUGGGGGAUAGCGUCGAGAAAUCGGCGGUAAUACCCCAUGUGCUCUACGGAGGAAAGGUUUACCGCCUUGGGAGCAGCGAUCGUCCUAUCAGGGUAGUUGGUGGGGUAAUGGCCUACCAAGCCGAAGACGGGUAGCGGGUGUGAGAGCAUGACCCGCCGCAUCGGAACUGAGACACUGUCCGGACUCCUACGGGAGGCUGCAGCGACGAAUAUUCCGCAAUGGGCGAAAGCCUGACGGAGCAAUGCCGCGUGUGGGAUGAAGCGCCUUCGGCGUGUAACCACUGUCAGGUCCUAGGAACACUGACCAGGACCAGAGGAAGGGCCGGCUAACCUCGUG
This 441-nucleotide ribosomal RNA is filed under the name uncultured bacterium. Its description in RNAcentral is "bacterial SSU rRNA". It matches the Rfam family "Bacterial small subunit ribosomal RNA", at positions 29 to 507 of the family's 1533-position model. The record is from RNAcentral.